GUGUUGGUUAGUUAAGACUUUUUAAGUAUCCUUUUUAUCUAAAACUAAGACCCAUAUGGAGCCCUCUUAGCCCUCUAUCUAGAUGGUACAAACUUUAAAGUGUGCCAUGGCCAGAUGUGGCGUCAAACAUCCUUUUAUUUUUGGCACAUGCUGGAUGAAGCGAUGCAAACAAUCGUGACUUCACAUCAGAAACCUUGUUCAAAGAGC
RNAcentral lists this long non-coding RNA (207 nucleotides) under Elaeis guineensis (African oil palm). RNAcentral describes it as "long non-coding RNA (EGUI_LNC048000)". Lineage: Eukaryota; Viridiplantae; Streptophyta; Magnoliopsida; Arecales; Arecaceae. The record is from RNAcentral.